Molecule: ribosomal RNA, 490 nt
Filed under: uncultured bacterium
Lineage: Bacteria
Description: partial 16S ribosomal RNA
Rfam family: Bacterial small subunit ribosomal RNA
Source: RNAcentral
GAUGAACGCUAGCGAUAGGCUUAACACAUGCAAGUCGAGGGGCAGCAUGGUCUUAGCUUGCUAAGACUGAUGGCGACCGGCGCACGGGUGCGUAACGCGUAUGCAACUUGCCUCACAGAGGGGGAUAACCCGUCGAAAGACGGACUAAUACCGCGUACACUUGGGAUAGGGCAUCCUGACCCAAGGAAAUGAAAUUCGCUGUGAGAUAGGCAUGCGUCCCAUUAGCUAGUUGGUGAGAUAACGGCUCACCAAGGCGACGAUGGGUAGGGGAGCUGAGAGGUUGAACCCCCACACUGGUACUGAGACACGGACCAGACUCCUACGGGAGGCAGCAGUGAGGAAUAUUGGUCAAUGGGCGAGAGCCUGAACCAGCCAAGUCGCGUGAAGGAUGACUGUCUUAUGGAUUGUAAACUUCUUUUAUACGGGAAUAACAAGAGCCACGUGUGGCUCCCUGCAUGUACCGUAUGAAUAAGCAUCGGCUAACUCCGUG